RNAcentral lists this ribosomal RNA (440 nucleotides) under uncultured bacterium. Its description in RNAcentral is "partial 16S ribosomal RNA". It matches the Rfam family "Bacterial small subunit ribosomal RNA", at positions 338 to 795 of the family's 1533-position model. The record is from RNAcentral.
CCUACGGGAGGCAGCAGUAGGGAAUAUUGCUCAAUGGGGGAAACCCUGAAGCAGCAACGCCGCGUGGAGGAUGAAGGUUUUCGGAUUGUAAACUCCUUUUGUUAGAGAAGAUAAUGACGGUAUCUAACGAAUAAGCACCGGCUAACUCCGUGCCAGCAGCCGCGGUAAUACGGAGGGUGCAAGCGUUACUCGGAAUCACUGGGCGGAAAGAGCGCGUAGGCGGGAUAGAAAGUCAGAUGUGAAAACCUAUGGCUUAACCAUAGAACUGCAUUUGAAACUGUUAUUCUAGAGUAUGGGAGAGGUAGGUGGAAUUCUUGGUGUAGGGGUAAAAUCCGUAGAGAUCAAGAGGAAUACUCAUUGCGAAGGCGACCUGCUAGAACAUAACUGACGCUGAUGCGCGAAAGCGUGGGGAGCAAACAGGAUUAGAUACCCGAGUAGUC